This 443-nucleotide ribosomal RNA is filed under the name uncultured Rhodospirillaceae bacterium. RNAcentral describes it as "bacterial SSU rRNA". It matches the Rfam family "Bacterial small subunit ribosomal RNA", at positions 337 to 797 of the family's 1533-position model. Lineage: Bacteria; Pseudomonadati; Pseudomonadota; Alphaproteobacteria; Rhodospirillales; Rhodospirillaceae. The record is from RNAcentral.
GCCUACGGGGGGCUGCAGUGGGGAAUAUUGGACAAUGGGCGCAAGCCUGAUCCAGCCAUGCCGCGUGAGUGAAGAAGGCCUUCGGGUUGUAAAGCUCUUUCGACGGGGACGAUGAUGACGGUACCCGUAUAAGAAGCCCCGGCUAACUUCGUGCCAGCAGCCGCGGUAAUACGAAGGGGGCUAGCGUUGUUCGGAAUUACUGGGCGUAAAGCGAACGUAGGCGGUGUUCCAUGUCAGAGGUGAAAGCCUGGGGACCAACUCCAGAAUUGCCUUUGAAACGGGAACGCUUGAGUCCGAGAGAGGAUGGCGGAAUUCCUAGUGUAGAGGUGAAAUUCGUAGAUAUUAGGAAGAACACCGGUGGCGAAGGCGGCCAUCUGGCUCGGUACUGACGCUCAGGUUCGAAAGCGUGGGGAGCAAACAGGAUUAGAUACCCUGGUAGUCCA